RNAcentral lists this ribosomal RNA (954 nucleotides) under uncultured bacterium. Its description in RNAcentral is "bacterial SSU rRNA". It matches the Rfam family "Bacterial small subunit ribosomal RNA", at positions 534 to 1501 of the family's 1533-position model. The record is from RNAcentral.
GGGGGGGCGUGUCGGAGUUCUGGGCGUAAGGGCCCGCAGGCGGAAGGGUGCGUUUGGUGUGACAGCUCGUGGCUUCACUACGAGAGGAUACCAAAGAUGGCCGUUCUUGAGGGCCAGAGAGGGACCUGGAAGUCCGGGUGGAGCGGUGAAAUGCGUAGAGAUCCGGAGGAACACCGAAAGCGAAGGCAGGGUCCUGGCUGGUACCUGACGCUCGUGGGCGAAAGCUAGGGGAGCGAACGGGAUUAGAUACCCCGGUAGUCCUAGCCGUAAACGAUGACCACUAGGUGUGCGACGUAUCGACCCGUUGCGUGCCGGAGGUAACCCAUUAAGUGGUCCGCCUGGGGAGUACGGUCGCAAGAUUAAAACUCAAAGGAAUUGACGGGGACCCGCACAAGCAGCGGAGCGUGUGGUUUAAUUCGAUGCGACGCGAAGCACCUUACCAGGGUUUGACAUGCGCGCUGAGCGUCCAGAGAUGGGCGGGCCCGCAAGGGAGGCGCGCACAGGUGCUGCAUGGCUGUCGUCAGCUCGUGCCGUGAGGUGUUGGGUUAAGUCCCGCAACGAGCGCAACCCCUGUCGCCGGUUGAACGAUCCGGCGAGACUGCCACGUUGAACGUGGAGGAAGGUGGGGAUGACGUCAAGUCAGCACGGCCCUGAUGUCCUGGGCGACACACACGCUACAAUGGCCGAGACAACGGGUCGCCAACCCGCGAGGGGGAGCCAAUCCCAGCAAAGUCGGCCCCAGUUCAGAUUGCAGGCUGCAACCCGCCUGCAUGAAGGAGGAGUUGCUAGUAACCGUGGGUCAGCAUACCACGGUGAAUACGUUCCCGGGUCUUGUACACACCGCCCGUCACACCACGAAAGUCGGCAACACCUGAAGCCGCUGGGCUAACGCACAAGCGAGGCACGCGUCGAGGGUGGGGUCGGUGAUUGGGGUGAAGUCGUAACAAGGUAACC